This 253-nucleotide ribosomal RNA is filed under the name uncultured bacterium. RNAcentral describes it as "partial 16S ribosomal RNA". It matches the Rfam family "Bacterial small subunit ribosomal RNA", at positions 524 to 776 of the family's 1533-position model. The record is from RNAcentral.
UACGGGGGGGGCAAGCGUUGUUCGGAAUUACUGGGCGUAAAGGGCUCGUAGGCGGCCAACUAAGUCAGACGUGAAAUCCCUCGGCUUAACCGGGGAACUGCGUCUGAUACUGGAUGGCUUGAGUUUGGGAGAGGGAUGCGGAAUUCCAGGUGUAGCGGUGAAAUGCGUAGAUAUCUGGAGGAACACCGGUGGCGAAGGCGGCAUCCUGGACCAACACUGACGCUGAGGCACGAAGGCCAGGGGAGCAAACGGG